Molecule: ribosomal RNA, 373 nt
Filed under: uncultured organism
Description: partial 16S ribosomal RNA
Rfam family: Bacterial small subunit ribosomal RNA
Source: RNAcentral
GUAGGUGGCAAGCGUUGUCCGGAAUUAUUGGGCGUAAAGCGCGCGCAGGCGGUCCUUUAAGUCUGAUGUGAAAGCCCACGGCUCAACCGUGGAGGGUCAUUGGAAACUGGGGGACUUGAGUACAGAAGAGGAAAGCGGAAUUCCAAGUGUAGCGGUGAAAUGCGUAGAGAUUUGGAGGAACACCAGUGGCGAAGGCGGCUUUCUGGUCUGUAACUGACGCUGAGGCGCGAAAGCGUGGGGAGCAAACAGGGAUUAGAUACCCUGGUAGUCCACGCCGUAAACGAUGAGUGCUAGGUGUUAGGGGGUUUCCCGCCCCUUAGUGCUGCAGCUAACGCAUUAAGCACUCCGCCUGGGGAGUACGGCCGCAAGGCUG